UACGUAGGUCCCGAGCGCUGUCCGGAUUUAUUGGGCGUAAAGCGAGCGCAGGUGGUUUAUUAAGUCUGGUGUAAAAGGCAGUGGCUCAACCAUUGUAUGCAUUGGAAACUGGUAGACUUGAGUGCAGGAGGGGCAGGCGGAAUUCCUGGUGUAGCGGUGAAAUGCGUAGAUAUCAGGAGGAACACCGGUGGCGAAGGCGGCCUGCUGGACUGCAACUGACGUUGAGGCUCGAAAGCGUGGGGAGCAAACAGG
This 252-nucleotide ribosomal RNA is filed under the name uncultured bacterium. Its description in RNAcentral is "partial 16S ribosomal RNA". It matches the Rfam family "Bacterial small subunit ribosomal RNA", at positions 524 to 776 of the family's 1533-position model. The record is from RNAcentral.